AGUUCCAAGCCGUACAGUAAACCAGAAUCUUCCAAUAGUGGUUCCGGAAAAGGAGAAUUCAAUUCCAGGAGUUUUUUUUCGUGGCCUUGGCCAAGUCAGUGAUACCGAGUUCUCCAAAGCAGGCAAGUCAGAAAGUUGCAAGUGUUUCUAUUGUAACCAGCCCGGGCACUUUGCAAGGAACUGCCCCGAAAAAAGGAUUCCUACAGCGACAGUUGGUGCACCAAAGUUCCAGGAACAGAACACAGGAAAGACCCAGUAACAAAACAGAUACAGACAUAGAUGAAAUCAAUGGAAACAAUUUGAGUGUUAUGCCAAUGAUUCGAGAUUUGCCAGUAUCAUACGAGAUUUACCCUCUUUUGUCGAAUCGUCUAGAUCAAAUUCUACAAUUAAGAAAUACAAGUGCUAUUUUAAAAAGUUUGAAAAAUGGUGUGUUUCAUGUUAACUUGAGUGUUUACCAGCGACAACUACUACGAUUUCUAUGUAUAUAGGUGGACUCAUUCAACAGGGAUCCAGUGUUGCGAUUUUAGAUGCAAGUUUUUAUUCAAUAAAAUGGUUUCAUGACUUUAAUUUCCAACAUAAUCCUUGUUCAGACAAAUUCCUUGGUCUUAUUUAUGAAGGAGGAAGGAGAUUGCUAAGUAAAUCUAUCAAAAAAAAAAAAAAGAA
Mytilus californianus (California mussel) is the source of this 663-nucleotide long non-coding RNA. RefSeq lists it as uncharacterized. NCBI's taxonomy places the organism in Eukaryota, Metazoa, Mollusca, Bivalvia, Mytilida, Mytilidae. The transcript has 2 exons. The record is from RefSeq and is a predicted model, not a curated record.